RNAcentral lists this ribosomal RNA (181 nucleotides) under Eyprepocnemis plorans meridionalis. Its description in RNAcentral is "partial 18S ribosomal RNA". It matches the Rfam family "Eukaryotic small subunit ribosomal RNA", at positions 1656 to 1831 of the family's 1831-position model. Lineage: Eukaryota; Metazoa; Arthropoda; Insecta; Orthoptera; Acrididae. The record is from RNAcentral.
GCUUUUGUACACACCGCCCGUCGCUACUACCGAUUGAAUGAUUUAGUGAGGUCUUCGGACUGGUACGCGGCAUCGACUCUGUCGUUGCCGAUGCUACCGGAAAGAUGACCAAACUUGAUCAUUUAGAGGAAGUAAAAGUCGUAACAAGGUUUCCGUUGGUGAACCUGCGGAAGGAUCAUUA